UGUGGCGGUAUAGUUUGAUAUUGUUGCAGUCAACUGAUAGUAAACAUGCCUUCUCCUUGCGAACCCUGCAAAGAUACAUGUAAAGACGGGAACUGCGAGGACAACUGCACAUGCAAGGACAAGGGUUGUGACGACUGCACUUCUAAAGGUGGUUGCUGUUAGUGACAAUGGACGUAGUACGCGCUCGUCGGCGGCCCUCACUGUUCUCUCGCGUUAGUGCCGUGCUUGAAACAUGCUUCCCUGUCUCAUUUACAGUCGUCUUUCUCAUAACUAUUGUAUUGUUUUAUUGCUUCAUAUAAAUGUUAUGUUGAU
Long non-coding RNA from Papilio xuthus (Asian swallowtail), 312 nucleotides. RefSeq lists it as uncharacterized. Lineage: Eukaryota; Metazoa; Arthropoda; Insecta; Lepidoptera; Papilionidae. The transcript has 3 exons. The record is from RefSeq and is a predicted model, not a curated record.